CGCCUUGCCAGCCCGCUCAGAACUUAAGGAAUUGACAGGGGCCCGCACAAGCGGUGGAGUAUGUGGUUUAAUUCGAUGCAACGCGAAGAACCUUACCUGGUCUUGACAUCCCGGAGACCCUUAGGAAACUAGGGGGUGCUUCCAUCUGGAAGAAUCUGGAGACAGGUGCUGCAUGGCUGUCGUCAGCUCGUGUCGUGAGAUGUUGGGUUAAGUCCCGCAACGAGCGCAACCCUUGCCUUUAGUUGCCAGCAGUUCGGCUGGGCACUCUAAAGGGACUGCCGGUGUUAAACCGGAGGAAGGUGGGGAUGACGUCAAGUCCUCAUGGCCUUUAUGACCAGGGCUACACACGUACUACAAUGGCCGAUACAAAGGGCAGCGACACUGCGAGGUGAAGCCAAUCCCGUAAAAUCGGUCUCAGUCCGGAUUGGAGUCUGCAACUCGACUCCAUGAAGUUGGAAUCGCUAGUAAUCGUGGAUCAGCAUGCCACGGUGAAUACGUUCCCGGGCCUU
Molecule: ribosomal RNA, 509 nt
Filed under: uncultured Desulfobulbus sp.
Lineage: Bacteria; Pseudomonadati; Thermodesulfobacteriota; Desulfobulbia; Desulfobulbales; Desulfobulbaceae
Description: bacterial SSU rRNA
Rfam family: Bacterial small subunit ribosomal RNA
Source: RNAcentral